RNAcentral lists this transfer RNA (75 nucleotides) under Jatrophihabitantaceae bacterium. RNAcentral describes it as "tRNA-Val". It matches the Rfam family "tRNA". Rfam says of the family: Transfer RNA (tRNA) molecules are approximately 80 nucleotides in length. The record is from RNAcentral. Lineage: Bacteria; Bacillati; Actinomycetota; Actinomycetes; Jatrophihabitantales; Jatrophihabitantaceae. RNAcentral also lists the same sequence under 1 other name.
GGGCGAUUAGCUCAGUGGGAGAGCACUUCCCUGACACGGAAGGGGUCACUGGUUCAAUCCCAGUAUCGCCCACCA